This 892-nucleotide long non-coding RNA is filed under the name Heterocephalus glaber (naked mole-rat). RNAcentral describes it as "lncRNA (ENSHGLG00000030566.2)". The record is from RNAcentral. Lineage: Eukaryota; Metazoa; Chordata; Mammalia; Rodentia; Bathyergidae.
AGGAAGAGCUCACGGCCUCACUGUCACUGGGAAUGGCUGUUGUUCUCAUCAGGGGAACUCUGAUCUUCAUUAUGAGCGUCACUUCCCGGCUCCAAUGUAGAUCCCUCAGUCUGGUGGGACAAAUCUUCACCCCACUGGUACAGGUUUUCUGGCUUCCACCACUGGCCUUUGGGCCUUCUGGUUGCAGAUCCUCAAUACAGACAAGCUUGAGACAUUGCCAUGGGCUCUAGGCCUCUGGCUGGACUCGUGCAGGACGUUGCUUUGGACUCUAGGUCUUCAGCUAGACUUGUGUGAGACACUGCUGUGGGAUCCAGGACCUUGGCCGGAUUCUUUGGGUUUCUAAUGUGUGUCUAAUCUCUUUCACUCCUCUGAAUUUGACAUUUUCGCAAUGAGGAAGUAAUCAAGACACCUGCCUUGAGCUCUUUCUCCUCUGCAUCACCCCUCUGCCCUGCUGACCUGACUUGGAAACAGCCAACUAUGAACUGAAACCUCUACAAACUGUGAGCCAAAAUAAACCUCUCCUCCUUCAAUUUGUGGGUGUCCCGUAUUGCGUCCCAGCAAUGACAAGGAUCUCACUAUGCAGUUCAGGCUAGCAUUGAAGUCACUAUGUAUCCUAGACUGAUCUCAAACUCGAGGUGAUCUUCCUGCCUCAGCUUCCCUAGUGCUGGGACUACAGAUGGAGAAUUUUGGUGGGUCAAGAGCCCCAAACUCACAAAAAAAUAACUGGAUCUAAAACAUGAGAGCAUAUUGAGCACCUACUCUUCAUGAGCACCUACUCUUUACUCAAGAUUCAAUCAUGGCCGAAAUUGGAAGACAAGCAUGUCUAGUUUAGAUGCUUUUCAAAUCACACCAAGAGAAUUAAGAAUGUCUGGUGCCUGGAGCUUGGCAAAAU